Molecule: ribosomal RNA, 496 nt
Filed under: uncultured bacterium
Lineage: Bacteria
Description: partial 16S ribosomal RNA
Rfam family: Bacterial small subunit ribosomal RNA
Source: RNAcentral
GAUGAACGCUGGCGGCGUGCCUAAUACAUGCAAGUCGAGCGAACAGACGAGGAGCUUGCUCCUCUGACGUUAGCGGCGGACGGGUGAGUAACACGUGGAUAACCUACCUAUAAGACUGGGAUAACUUCGGGAAACCGGAGCUAAUACCGGAUAAUAUAUUGAACCGCAUGGUUCAAUAGUGAAAGACGGUUUUGCUGUCACUUAUAGAUGGAUCCGCGCCGCAUUAGCUAGUUGGUAAGGUAACGGCUUACCAAGGCAACGAUGCGUAGCCGACCUGAGAGGGUGAUCGGCAAACAUGGAACUGAGACACGGUCCAGACCCCUACGGGAGGAAGCAGUAGGGAAUCUUCCGCAAGGGGAGAAAGCUGGACGGAGAAACGCCGGGGGAGGGAAGAAGGUUUUCGGAUGGUAAAACUCUGUUAUUAGGGAAGAAAAAAUGUGUAAGUAAAUAUCCACGUCUUGACGGUACCUAAUCAGAAAGCCACGGCUAACUACGU